GGUUUGAGGUUUUCUCGGCAGUUAACUGCCGAAGUUUUCAGUUUUCCUCGGCAGUUAACUGCCGAGGGGUAU
RNAcentral lists this microRNA precursor (72 nucleotides) under Medicago truncatula (barrel medic). RNAcentral's name for it is "MIR2629 microRNA precursor family". It matches the Rfam family "MIR2629 microRNA precursor family". Lineage: Eukaryota; Viridiplantae; Streptophyta; Magnoliopsida; Fabales; Fabaceae. The record is from Rfam by way of RNAcentral.